Rattus norvegicus (Norway rat) is the source of this 2769-nucleotide long non-coding RNA. RefSeq lists it as uncharacterized. NCBI's taxonomy places the organism in Eukaryota, Metazoa, Chordata, Mammalia, Rodentia, Muridae. The record is from RefSeq and is a predicted model, not a curated record.
CGCGCGGGCGCGGGGCGAUCGAAAGGUCCUUCCCUAGAGGGACGCUCUGCGCACGCGCGGACCCCCACUGACUCGCCGGAAACGCGGCGGGCCAGCGGUGCUGGUCCUAGGCGCGGAUCCGAGCUACCCCCGCUUCGGCCUUGGGAGCUCUGCUUGCACAAACCCUAGCUUUCACAAGAACUGGAAGAGCGGGCCAGGCCUGCGCCGCGGACUUAGUGGGCCCUGCCCCUCUGCCAUCCCCUGGAUGGAGCCAGUACAAAGAAGAAUCUGAUAGUGUGUGACUCUUGACUGGGAUCCUCAGAUCACGACUUUACCCUUGAUCUGCUGGACUGCCUUCUACAGAGAAAGCCAGCUGACAUGGAGAAUGCUCUGGAAGCCCUAGGGAAGCGGACAGCAGCCUGGCAGUCACUUGAGAAACAGCCUUCUCUCUGUGGUGACACCUUCAGAAAACUACACUCUCGUGAGUGAUCCCAUCACACAACUCAACUGAGAUAGCUUCCAAAGUCCUGACUCACAGAUGCUGUGGAGACAAUACACGUUUACUGUGUUAAGACGCUAAAUUUGGAGUGUGAUCUUUUUGCAACUGAUUGAUUUAGGUCAACCCUAUUAAAAAGGAAAAGAACUGGGACAUAAGAGAUUUAGAGGAAACGGUGGGAAACAAAACAAAGCCGAUUGGGGAAGGUGGCUAGGGCUGAGGUUAGAGGAGUGUGGAAUGAGAGACAAUGUUGAAAUGCUUAGUAUUGUGGUAUUUUGAAUUCGCUUGGCCCAGGAAAGGGCGCUAUAAGGAGGCAUGGCCUUGUUGGAGGAAAUAUGUCCCUGUGGGGGUGGGCUUUGAGACCCACCUCCUAGCCACAUGGGAGACAGUCUUUUCCUGUUUGCCUCUGGAACAAGAUGUGGAACUCCCAGCUACUCCAGCACCUUGCCUGUGGACCCUGCUGUGCUUCCCAGCAUGACAAUAAUGGAGUGAACCUCUGAAGCUGUAAGCCAGCUUCAAUUAAAUGUUAUCCUUUACAGGAGUUGCCUUGGCCAUUGUGUCUCUUCACAGCAGUGGAAACCCUAAGGCAUGUAUCGACUUGUGGAAGGCAUAAAGUGCCCAGUUAACAAGGUGUGAUUUAUUCUGCAUGCAAGGAUAAGUAUUAGCUGCAUCACGCAUGAGUUUGGGGGAAGAUUAGUACUUCAGCUUUUAUUUAGGGGAGCAGGAAGGGUAGACUGAAGGAGGAAACAUCAAGCUAAGGGACCACUUUACACACUCAUGUGAAAGGUAAUGUGAACUGAGUCAAGGCAGCACCAAGCAAGUUGCAAGAGUGGAUUUAAUUUGUAUAGGAGGUAGGUGAUAUUGUUAAUUAAUAGGAAGGAAACUUUUUAAUUGACUGUAUGAAAGGAUAAUAAUAUUCACCCAAAGUCUAUGACACAGAAGUGGUGCAUAGUUGUUAUGAGGGAUGAGGUGUAAAUGAGCAAACCCCUUACUGCUUUCUCAUCACCAAGAUAUAAACUCCAGGAUCCUCCACAUCCACAGGAAGCCAGGUUGGGACAGAAGCCCUGGCUACCCUCCCCAACCUCCCACCCCAGGCAAUAAGGGGACACUCUGGUCAUUUUCUCCCCGGAAUGUGUUAUUCUUUCUGCCUCAGAUUACCAGGCACUCUCUACCUAAACAGGGAUGUUAAUCCCUGUUUCUAACUCAGUGCACUCUACAAGAUAAAACUCUCUUUUCCAGACUCUGGUAGGAUACUUUGUGUCAUCUCGAACUUCAAUUUCAAUUUGAGUUUUGACAAAGGUGGUGAAGCCCUCCCCCAACGAAGGCAAUGAUGUAGAGAGCCUGUUCUCCAAAUAGAAAAGGGAAAAAGAAGAUGUCUAAUUGAUAUCUCAAGAAGUUAUCUCGUGAGUCACCCAUUGAGAACACACCUACAAGUAAAUAAAACAGCCCUGCCCUCUUGUGAUUACCAGUGUGAACAAAGGCAGUCAAAAGGGAAAUGCCAUAAAGGCUGUGUUGGGUAUAUAAUCAAAAUUAUAUAUGAAUCUGCAAGAGGGAAAAACUAAGCUAGGGCCUUGCCAGGAAACCAGUUUAUGGUGCCAGAUGUUUACUGUAAUCUUCACAUUAUUUUCACUCCACCAUGCCUGCCCUUGCGUGCUUAGUUCUUUUUGUUUGUGAACUCGGCCAGGUACAGAGGAAAAUGACAUCAGUCUUGAUGCUCUGUCCAGCAACUCAAUCGACGCCCAGUCAUCUCUCUGUGUGAUCCAACCAAACACUCCUUCAAAGCCUCAGUAACGCUCUGCUUGACUAGUUGUUCAGUUCAGUGUCAGCGUUCUCUUUUUGAGGGGCCCAACGGCUGCAGCGAACCACCUGUGACUGGAUUCUCCACUGAGCUAUGUCAGGUCUCCUCCCUAGACACAGAACUUUCUCACAGUACCCUCCUCGGGCUGAAGUCCUGCUCCUCUCUCUUUGUACGACAUGGGUCCACUAUCUGGUUCCCACAUUCUUCUCCACCAUCACCCACCAGAAUGGAAAAUUGCAUCAUUGAAAACAGAGACUCAUACUCCAGGCUGGCCUUUAACUUCCUAAGUGCUGGAGAUGGCCUGGACCCUCUGAUCCUCCUGUUCCUAAGUGCUGGGACUGCAGGCUUGCACCACCACGUUUGGUCUAUGAAGUGCUGAGGUUUAAAAUGGAGUCAAGCACCGAGCUACAUCCUCAGCCUCAGGCGUGCAGGGCAGGGGGGUGAGGGUGGGAUGGGGAAGCCAGGUGGUUUUAAGUAAAAUGUAUACAAAGUUCAA